AAACUAAAGCUUGCAUAAUCAUCCCUGGUUAUGCAACCUGCUAUUCAAGUUUUGUUUGCUGGGAAACAAUAUGUGUUUGUUUUUUCAUUCUUUGUCCUUUUCAUUGGGGAAAACUUAUCCUUUCCAUGUGUCAUUUGAUUUGUCUUUCUUUUGCAGUUCAGUGAUGGAUUUCAGCCGGCCUCUUGCUGUGCACGGCUGCUGCUUUCACACCCUUGCUUGCCAGCACCACAACUCAAGGACGCCGGGCCCUGUCCCUAGGAACGCUCCCCGCUACAGCUGCCGUGCCCCAGCCGCUGUCCCGCCGCCCGCCCCUGCCCCACUCACCCCGCCGGCCCCCGGGGGUCUCCUCCUCCGCCUGCUGCCCGCGGGCGGCGGACGUGGCCAGGGCGCGGGCGGCAGCUGGCGGGGCCGCCUCCAUCAUCCGCGGGCAGUGCUGGGCGUAGAGGAGCAGAGAGGGCCCGGCCUUCUGCAGGAACGCCUGCGAGACACGGGCCAGGAACGGGCAGCGCCGCACCACCGCCUCCAUCCUCGCUGCUUCACGGGGGAACCGGACGUGACGAGAGCACCGCGGAGGCGACAGAUACACCCGAGCAGCCCCCGCGCCGCUCGCCGCCUAUAUAGCCCCGGCGGGCACGGCGCAGGCGCGCUGCGCUGCUUCCCCGCCGCACGGCGCAGGCGCGGGCCGGACCCGGAGGCGGCUGCCGGGGGGGCUGCGGGGGACCGGGGGUGGUUCGCAUGGGGUUGGCGGGGUAUGCGAGCGGCUCCCGGGUGCUGUGAGGAGCUGGGGGGGCUCUGGGCGCCGUGAGGGGACGGAUAGGGCUGCCGGGGUGUGUGCGAAGAGACGGUGGGGCAGCCGGCCCCGGGGGCUGUAGGGGACGGCUAGUAAGGGGGUCACGCCCCCCCCCCUCCAAGAAGGCGGGCGGGCAGGCAGCUGUCCUGCUCUGGGGUUCCCCUCAGCCCCAGGCUGGGCAGCGCUUGUUUCCCAGAAUUAUUGCAGCCGCUCAGCCCCCGGGCAGUGGAUUUGGGGGCCCCUGGUGCGGCUGUUCGUUGGAAAACACGAGCUGUGAAUCAGCUGAGUGGGGAAACCCGGCGCCGCUCGGCGCUUCUCGUGUGUUCAUUUCCCAGCACGGCGCCCUGGCUCCCCGUGCCGCCUCGCACAGGGCGCGGGGGUCUCGCCGCUGGUCGUGGUGGGAUCCCGAACCCCUCCCUUCGCCCACAGCCGCUCUGAAUCCAGCAGUUUCUCCACCUGUGAUGCUCAGGCUUCCACCACUGUGUUUUUGAAGUGUGGUGCCGUUGCCUAGGUUUUGAAGAUAAAUACUCUUGUAGGAAUGACAGCAGCAAGUAAAAUUGAAUCCUGCAUGCUCUAUUUUGCAAUGGGCAUUGAAGUUUAUUUGUUUAAAAGAAUAUUUACAGGUGGGUAGUGAUUAAAGGAGCUGUGGUUAUACAAAUCCAUGUAAGCGUGUACUAACUACUGAAGUGUGGAAAGAACGAAGAAGAAAGAUGAUGCUUGUUUUCUUUUUUUUCCUCAUCUUGCGAAACAAGAAUUUCACGGAAGACAGGAUUCAGGCCGAGUGCUGCCUCUCGGCCACGUGUCUCAGCCAGCUGAGGGGUGGCUUGCGCAGUUUGAGGCAAAAGUGGUUUUUCUAACAGGUACAGAGUUUUGAGGAGAGCUCUUUUAAAGCUCAUUCUCCCUUGACUGGUAUCUUGUGUGUCGUCAUGGUGUGUAGUUAAGGUCCUUGUAUUAGAGUGAUUAGGAAAAUACAAAACCUAUGUAGAACUGUGGCUGCUGAACCCAAGUUUGGAUACCAAAAGCAUUGGUUGGUUUUUACAUGUUACAAAUUGAUCUUUAGAUAACUCCUCUGCUGGCAGGCAGGGGGGAGACCAGCAGGAUAUUUGCCCGAAUCUCCUCAACACUGACUCACUUUGAGGAUGCUGGCUGCAAGGUGUGUGGACUUUGUGAACUAAAUAAGCAGAUAAAGAGAACCGCAACCUUAAACCAUAGCCAAACGGCAGGGUCGCUGUCAACUCCAGUGCACUAUUAAACUCUGAGGUAGGAAACAGGACAGAGUUUGCCCUUGCGUAUUCCUUGUGGGGCCCUGCAGAGAGUAGAUAUGGCCUUAUGAGGCAGGUUUUAGUGGGGUUAGAUGUUUUUUUGAACAAGUUUGCUUCUUGCUUAUUAGGAAUUUAUUACAGUGUUAAGAAGUCUCAGUGCUUAGAUCUUAAACAUUUUAACUCAUUUCAUCACUGUAUUGCAGAAGUUACUGUUAAGAAACAGCCUUUCAUCAGUGGGCAUUGUUAAACUAGAUACAUACUAGUUUUAAUUUGUUCAGUAAAUAAAUGAUUAAACUAACGCUAUCAUAUAUUAUCUGAGUCUGCAUAGCAGUUGUGAUAGCAAGAGUCUUGGUCAUUUGGUAAUACUAGGACAGUGCUUCAAAUUAUUACUUCCGUUUUCUCAUGGAAAGUGCUCAUAGAGUAGUUUGGGUUGGAGGGGACCUUCAAAGCUCAUCUAGUCCAGCUCCCCUGCAAUGAGCAGGGACAUCAGUUAGUGUUACAUGCCUCACAUGCCUCAAGUAUUUACAUUUUGCAAAAUAUAAUAGUUAAUUAGCACUUGAAGGUUAAAGAUAUCUGAUUUGUGUUCCAGAUUGUUGCUCUUCCCUUUCUCCUGACCAUCAACAUUUGGAUCUCUACCCUGAAGCUUUGUAUCAUAUCAGUUACUAUAAAAAAGGAGGACAUAUCAUGAUAUUGUGCCACAUAAAUACCUGAUGAAUGUCCUAGGAGCAGAGAGUUAAUGUUUCUGAACCUAAGGGAUCACUCCAGUGCUCCUUGGAUUAAUUUCAGUUUUAACAACAUAAUUCAAAUCCCUUAUGCUUGAUUUAUAGUGUGUUGAUAGUACUUUUCCUUCUAUUUUUCCCUUAUUAAUUGACCAUGGCACUUAGCUCCAGAGGGACAGAGAAAGGGAAUAUGAGUUCUGUUGUAAGAGGCACCAGGGAAAGGUGUUGUGCAAACGGGCUGGCAGAGUACUGCCACAGGCUGCAGAGCUCAUCUGCGUGGCACCUGCCGCAGCAGAUUCCAUCCCACAAAAAUCCUUUUUCAUCCUGAUAAUCUUCACUGCAGCAUCUUACCAUGUUGCAAGAUUGAAGUACCUUAGUCUACGCUGUUGCUGGAAUGCAGAAGCUUGUGGUUUUGUAUUCAAAAGUGCAUGUGAAGUCUCAGGCCUGAAGAGCAUCUGCUUUUUACGCAAAUGUCAUUCAAGGCUGGCAGCUGAGACACAGCGACCUUGGCUGCGAUACGAAGAUCUCCAAGUGGAGCAGAACUCUCAGCUUUCCUGUCAGAGUACCCUACAAUCUGCACUAUUAAUCAGACCCCGCAAUAACGCUUCUUUAGAGCUUGGUUUUGGUGAAUUUAUUUAACCUUGUACGUGACAGAAGUUGCGCAGAGCUGAAUAACAAUGGAAUGACAUUAACUUGACCUUCAUCCUGGAGAACUGCCGAAGGAACGUGUCCUUGUCAGUGCAGAGACGACUGAGAGCUCUGAGACCAACAGAGCAGGGAAAAGUCAGGGGAAAAGGGUGUCUUCUCAGCUGCUCUGCUGGUUCAGUCCCAUUGGAAAUAUUGCCAGAGCUUACAAGUUGCAGGGCUCAGGAGAAACUAGCCUGAGCUGCUAUGCAAAUGCCACUUGCUACACGACAGAAGGACUUCAGAGUGUGACAAGGGACAGUGCCUCAGCAGCCACAGGGGAACAGGGAGCCUGUGUGGAGGGAGCAAACAGGCUCACCCAGCCUGGCUGGAGAGAGGCCAAAGGAGCCUCUAAUUGUCAGAGAAUUCAACCAAGCUGGAAGAGCUGCUGAAAGCUGAGGCACACGUGACCUGUUGCAGAGUGACUGGGCAGCACCCCUGUUUCACAGACACAGGCCAGGUGAAAAGUUACCACAAGCUUGAAAACUGGACAGUAGCCAUGCAGCUCUUGAACUGGUGUAAGUAUGAAUGCAGCUAUGGUGGAGGCUGUGGAGCCUGCCUGCAUCAGCGGAGGGUCUGGUUCUUCUGUGCAGCGUUGAUUAUUCAAGAAACCAAGCAACCCCUAAGGAGCAGCUGAGUGUGAUAUUCCCCCUGUUCUCCUGGCUGCUUGGAGCAUCCCAAAGUCCAGCAGGUAUUUUCCAUUUGGCUGUGGUAGCAGGCUGUGUAGACAAAUAUCUACGUAUUCAGCAGGCUGAGCAGGAGGGUUUGUGCAUCUUUCCCUUUAGACUGGUCUGGACAUGUAAAUGUUCUGCCUUCCCUUCCCAGGUGCAUCCUUCUGUGCUUCAGUAAAGCGGGAUAUGGCAUCGCUUUUGGUUUUGUCUUCAGAAGAGUAAACAAAACAGAAGGCCAAAAGACAGCUACUUAAAACACAUUCCUCUGCUGUGACUGGGAAAAAAUCUCUCCCUCAGAUACAGGCAUUCACUGUUUGCAUUCUCAUCCUCCUGGCAGGGGAUAUGGACUUCGUCUGCCUCACCUGGUUCAAGCCUAACCUUUCUGAUGGUUUUUUGUUUUUGAGAUGCCUGAUAAUCUGUCCUUCCUUCCGUGGUUCCUGGGUCCCAGCUGCUUGCCAUAUCUCCUGGAGCUGAUAAAAAAAGAUCUUGUACAAUGGGUCAAGGUACAGUGAUAGACAAGAGCGCUCUUGGUCUUGAUAGGGCUUGGUUUAUGUGUCAGGUGCAUUGUGGACCUGGCAUUGACCUGAAAGGCAGAGGUGGAGGAAUGUGUUUGCUCUCCAAGAGGGAGUCAACCUGACCAAGAAAUGCUGGGCUGGGUGCCUUGUGAUGGCAAAGAAAUCCUUCUGAGAAGGCCUGAGCUGCUGCAGGGGACAGUGGCUUCUACACCUCAGGAUGACUCAAAACAGCGCAUCUCAAACUCAUUGCAGCUCUAGCACCUCUUUUUUAGACUUGUCCAUCUUCCUGUGAAAAUGAGCUCCUUUCUUUCCCUUUCUGCUUUUGCAGGAGAAAACACAAGUGGCUUCCUGAUGGCAGAGGUGGCUGCAAUCACUGGGUCCCAGCUCUCCACUCCAAAGGAUUUUCCCUGCUGCCAGAAACUGCACAUUGCUUGCUGCUCCUUUGCUUUUGUGAACACUUGGUGAGCUUCACCCUCUGAGCAAACCUAAAUUGCUGAGGAUUUUCAGGAGGUAAAGUGAAAGUCAAAAGCUGAAUAUGGACGCUUUUUAAGAGUCAGAUCAUGUUAGGAACUGCCUUGUUAGUUGAAUCUGUGUUUUGGGUGAAGUUUUCACAUUGAUUUGCAAAAGUUGGAAGCUAGACAGUGAAAUACCCUCUGCUCUUCCCAUUUCCAAGCACUUAAUGCAGUAUUAAAGCUCUAUUACAGCCUUUUGAAGGACUCAUGCUUGUGUAUAAACCAUUCUAUAGAGGAAAUACCGUACAGUAACGUUUGUCCUGCUGCUGGUGAAUCUCCCCAUAUUGACAAGCUCUUCAUUUGUUGGCAUGAUAGCAGCAAGCCUGCUUUUAGCACCAUUUCCAAACUUAGCCAAUGCUUAGAACAGCUCAUUAAAGAACAGUAACCUGGGACUGCUAACAAGGGGAGCUCAGGGGUUGUUCUGGACUGUCUGUUGGAUCUCUGUCACCUUAGAAAUAGCCUCCCCUGUUACAGAGCUCACAAAAUGCUGCAGCCAACCUGCCUCACACUGGGCUGCAAGAGAGAGAGAAGCAGGAGCUCAAAUACCAGGUACCAUCCUUUACAUCAAUCCUGCUGGCAUGAAGAGGGUUUAUACUGCACAAAACCUGCUGCAAUGUGUUUCAACAAGAGAAGCCCUUUCCCCUUGCUUGGCAGAAGUAUUCAUAGCCCCUCUGGAAGGUUAGUUUGCUACCACAGAGCUUUUCCAGCUGCAGGACAGAUCUCAGGGCAUAUGAGGAGACCUUGUUCACAGAUCUCUAGAAGCUGGCCCAAAGGAGCUUUAUGUGUCUGGAGCAUUGGGUCAGUAUAGCUUAUGUUGAACACAUAAAGCUGGCACAGGAAAAACUCUUGCCAGCUCUUCAAAUCCAGAGAGGGUAUUUCAGGGCAAAUUUCUUCAUGCACCUCCUCCCCUUUCUCAUCAAAUAAACAAAAGGUAAAACGUCUUCCUCCCAGUUAAACUCCUCCAGGGCUACAGAAGCCAAAGGAUGAAGGGCACAAUGCAGAUGGUACCAGGGUCAGAGCACACUGGAAGGACAGAGCAUGUCAUGGAAUCACAGGCUUGGAGCACGAAGGUGCCUGGUGGCCGUGACAAAGGUUAUGACAAUGCAUAGCAGGCACAGCUUGACUGUCCUGGUGGGCUGGGCUGUAUGCUGGGCUCCUCCGAAAGUGGCUGUGCAGCUCAGAGGGAAUAAUGGGCUGGUGAAAGAUCAGCAUCAUGCUUCUCUUGGAGCAAAAAUACUAUCAGUUCCUGGGGAGACUGGAAAUUACUACUGUGCAGUCUUGCAGUGUUUAGAGGUGGAAGUAUUUUGCUUGGCUUUUAAAGAACGUGCAGCCAAGGCUUGUGAGAUGUUUCUCCAGUGAAUUACAGCAAAUUCGGAAAUGGGGUCACUGGGGUCCCAAAGCUGCAGCCGUCCCUGCUCUUCCCUGGGGACCCACUCCUGGAUGCAGCCGGGCGCAACACGGUCCUCUUAUUGCCUGCAGCCCUUCACUAACUUCUGGGCUCUGGGGUCCCACCACCGGUGGCUCUGGGAGUAAAAAGCAACAAGUGCUCUUCAGCAAUUUCUCCUCUCGCUGCUCCCUUCUGCCAGGUCAUGGGUGCCACCCUGCAAUGUCACUGCCGUGAGGCACAGGCGCCACAGUGACAUUUGAGAAUGCCCCAUCAGAACUUGCAGUUGGCACCAGUUGGUACCAGUCAGCCUUUGUUGGUGUCUGGCAGGACCAAGCCCCACUGGCCAGAGUGAUGGUUGCAGAAGAAAGGCCAAGCCCAAAUGAGACUGGAUGGUUUUAAAGGGAGUUGUUGUGCUGAUUUUGCUGUGAUUGAGUUAAUUUUAUUCACAGUAGUCAGAAUCUUUUCAUUUGAGUAGUUAGCAGUCUUUUGUUGUGAAGUAAAUAUGAGAAUAAUGUGAUAACACACAGAACUCCCCAUGCCUUUGCCUUGGACAGAAGUAAUUUUUUCUUUCCAGUAGCUAGGCUGUGUUUUCAAGUUGGUAUGAAAAGACUGUGAGGACUCACUAAUGUUCUGGCUGUUGCCAGGGAGACCAAGGAUGUUUUCAACUUUCCAGCUGCACAUAGAAGCUGAGAGGGAGCAUAACAGGCCAGCACCUGGACUGACAGCCAGGCUGGCGAGUGAUGAGAUAUUGCCUCCGAUAAGCAUCGUGCUGGGAGAGUUGUCAGGCCCAACUUCUCCUGCCUCUCCUCUGCCUCUCUGGGAUGAUGAAACAGCUGGGGACACUGCUGUAGAAACAGUGAUGGAAGAAGAACCUUUCCAAACCUGGAGUGAUGACAGCACUACUGAAAGAAACACUGCUGCUUCUUCCAAGGAGAACACUGGUGAAGCCCAAGACCUCUCCUUUCUCAAACAACUCUGGAAAAUUGCCAGCAGCAAUGAGUUUCCGUCCAUUCAGUGGGUUGAUGAUGGAUGGAGGUUUUGUUGCCAUCAAUGAACAAACAUUUGAAGAGGAAGUACUAGCAAGGAGAGGACCUGGGAGAGUUUUUGAAAUGGAGAGCAUGGAAAGAUUCCAUGCACUGCGUGAACUGCCAAAGGUGCCCAAUUUGUCUGUCUCUGGGAAUGAAUUUCCAGCAGAAGAAGCAGCUGCUUCUGCUCCUAGAAAGGUACAUCCGUUCCUCUGCACAGGAACUGGUGGGAGACACUGAUGUUCAAAUAUAAUAAACCUUGGCAACAGAGGAGAUGAAGAUGGCCAUGUCCUCGCCUUCAUGUCUUUCUCAGGGCAUUUCUCAGGUGAAAAUCCAUGUCUUAAUUAUGUUGUAAUGUUUGAGACAGCCCAUGCUUGAGGUUUCAAACACCACUAAGAGUCCUUUUCAAUAUCCAAGUUUGGCUUUUGUGAUUAAAAGCCUUAGUUCUCGUAUA
Molecule: long non-coding RNA, 8019 nt
Organism: Columba livia (rock pigeon)
Lineage: Eukaryota; Metazoa; Chordata; Aves; Columbiformes; Columbidae
Exons: 5
Source: RefSeq, a predicted model, not a curated record